UUUUAUUUAUGAAACAUAUAAUUGGAAUUUUUUACCACUUUUUUGAGAAAAAAGCAAUGUAUAUUUUACGUUGGUUAUAAAGUAACAAAUGUUGUAAAAAUUACUUUUUAUAUUGAUUAUAAACUUAUAACUGAUAUAAAAAAACAAUUUUUCUAUCCAUCGGUUAUGACCUUAUCACUGAUGUAAUCAAUUCAAUAUCUAAUGUAACUACAUAAAAAAAUUGUCAAUGCACAAACUUACAUUAAAAAAUGUUUUUUAUUGGAUGUAACUUUUUUGUUAACUAGUGUUUGAAUAGUCUUCAAUAAGAGGUGCUUAUAAGCUUAGCCCCCCUUUAAACUCCAACCAUGCUAAAUUGAAGGACAAUAGACCUUCUCUCUUUCUCGGUUUUGAUAAUAAAUCUCUUUUCUUAUCUAUUUUCCUUUCUUUUUGUGCAUGUUUCAUGGUGAUCCAAAGUAAUAUCUACCUUAUGAAGAUGUGCCAAGUGAUGACAUACAUAAAAUAUGUGGUGUGAAACUAUGAAUGAUAUGGACCUACUAUGACAUUUUAUAUAAUUUGGAAAUAUGACUAGGUUGUAUUCUCU
Molecule: long non-coding RNA, 580 nt
Filed under: Cicer arietinum (chickpea)
Lineage: Eukaryota; Viridiplantae; Streptophyta; Magnoliopsida; Fabales; Fabaceae
Description: long non-coding RNA (CARI_LNC001149)
Source: RNAcentral